Molecule: long non-coding RNA, 987 nt
Organism: Monopterus albus (swamp eel)
Lineage: Eukaryota; Metazoa; Chordata; Actinopteri; Synbranchiformes; Synbranchidae
Exons: 3
Source: RefSeq, a predicted model, not a curated record
CUUUUCCUUCUCUCAUGCCUCACCUCAUCAGUUCCUAGGGCAGUCUGAGCUUGUUAUAAAGGAUGUAGCUGUCUCCCAGACCUGAAAUACAGCAGCUGCCUGAAGAGAAAUUUCUCCACUGCUCUCAUCGACUUCCCAUUCAAUACAGUGUUUGGAUCUGUCCAGGAUCCCUCUGCCAGAACUCCCUUUAGAGCACUUGAAGUCUGAAGUGAAGAAAGAGAAAAACAUCUCUUCUGUGGCUGGCAGAACUUUCAUCAACUUCCAGAGUUUACAGAGGCUGGACCAGGUCCCUGUCCCAGGGGAAGACUUCUUUCUGGGCAUGGGUGCUGUCACAAGGUCUUGGCUCCCAGCUACCUCGCUGUCUCAGAAAGCAGAACUUUUGUGAACCUGGAAGGCGUCAUCCAAUGUGUCACGUCCAGAGCUGAGCCCAGACUGGAGAGAAUUGGGGCUCUGGAUUCAGAAGACAGCAGCUUGGUUUGGUUCCUUUAAUGCUGCAGCUUCAGGACCAUGUGUCUGAGAUGCAACAAAAAGAAGACUCGAGAGACACAGUAGGACAUUGUCUGCAGCUGGGAUUUGAUCAUUAGUACAAGUACCUUUGAUCAUUCUCUUACCUGGGCUUCAGGGAUCGUCCCCCCCCCCAGUCCCCAAGGCCAUUGAUAUGUGGGACCUUGUAUGUGUCGCAGCCUGCCUGCAACCUGUUCUCCACUGGUGAGCACUCUAAUAAGCUGCAUCGAUUGUAUAUUCCUGGUGCAGUACCAGACUGCGUGGUGUAGGCAGGGAAGGUGAUGUGUCUGAGGUCUGAGUGAGAUUUAUGCUACAACCUGGUAGCAGGAAGCAAGAUAUUGGAGCUUUACCUACACCUCUCAUCCGCACGCUGCUGAGCCCAGGUUAUCCUUAUAUCUGUGCUGGUGAUCAGUUCUUGAUUACAAGAGCCUCCUCCAACAAAUAGGAUCACAAAGUAAUCAUCACAGGCCCAGUCUUUCAAAA